RNAcentral lists this ribosomal RNA (258 nucleotides) under uncultured bacterium. RNAcentral's name for it is "partial 16S ribosomal RNA". It matches the Rfam family "Bacterial small subunit ribosomal RNA", at positions 75 to 334 of the family's 1533-position model. The record is from RNAcentral.
CUUGCUUUCUUUACUGGCGACCGGCGCACGGGUGAGUAACACGUAUCCAACCUGCCCUUUACUCGGGGAUAGCCUUUCGAAAGAAGGAUUAAUACCCGAUAGUAUAAUGAUUCCGCAUGGUUUCAUUAUUAAAGGAUUCCGGUAAAGGAUGGGGAUGCGUUCCAUUAGGUUGUUGGUGAGGUAACGGCUCACCAAGCCUUCGAUGGAUAGGGGUUCUGAGAGGAAGGUCCCCCACAUUGGAACUGAGACACGGUCCAA